GACGAACGCUGGCGGCGUGCCUAAUACAUGCAAGUAGAACGCUGAAGGAGGAGCUUGCUUCUCUGGAUGAGUUGCGAACGGGUGAGUAACGCGUAGGUAACCUGCCUGGUAGCGGGGGAUAACUAUUGGAAACGAUAGCUAAUACCGCAUAACAGUAGAUGUUGCAUGACAUUUGCUUAAAAGGUGCAAUUGCAUCACUACCAGAUGGACCUGCGUUGUAUUAGCUAGUUGGUGGGGUAACGGCUCACCAAGGCGACGAUACAUAGCCGACCUGAGAGGGUGAUCGGCCACACUGGGACUGAGACACGGCCCAGACUCCUACGGGAGGCAGCAGUAGGGAAUCUUCGGCAAUGGACGGAAGUCUGACCGAGCAACGCCGCGUGAGUGAAGAAGGUUUUCGGAUCGUAAAG
RNAcentral lists this ribosomal RNA (410 nucleotides) under Streptococcus mitis. RNAcentral's name for it is "bacterial SSU rRNA". It matches the Rfam family "Bacterial small subunit ribosomal RNA", at positions 28 to 430 of the family's 1533-position model. The record is from RNAcentral. Lineage: Bacteria; Bacillati; Bacillota; Bacilli; Lactobacillales; Streptococcaceae.